AGUGGACGCUGGCGGUAGGCCUAACACAUGCAAGUCGAACGGCAGCACAGUAAGAGCUUGCUCUUACGGGUGGCGAGUGGCGGACGGGUGAGGAAUACAUCGGAAGCUACUUUUUCGUGGGGGAUAACGUAGGGAAACUUACGCUAAUACCGCAUACGACCUACGGGUGAAAGCAGGGGAUCUUCGGACCUUGCGCGAUUGAAUGAGCCGAUGUCGGAUUAGCUAGUUGGCGGGGUAAAGGCCCACCAAGGCGACGAUCCGUAGCUGGUCUGAGAGGAUGAUCAGCCACACUGGAACUGAGACACGGUCCAGACUCCUACGGGAGGCAGCAGUGGGGAAUAUUGGACAAUGGGCGCAAGCCUGAUCCAGCCAUACCGCGUGGGUGAAGAAGGCCUUCGGGUUGUAAAGCCCUUUUGUUGGGAAAGAAAAGCAGCAGGUUAAUACCCCGCUGUUCUGACGGUACCCAAAGAAUAAGUACCGGCUAACUUCGUG
Molecule: ribosomal RNA, 492 nt
Filed under: uncultured bacterium
Lineage: Bacteria
Description: partial 16S ribosomal RNA
Rfam family: Bacterial small subunit ribosomal RNA
Source: RNAcentral